RNAcentral lists this ribosomal RNA (919 nucleotides) under Saccharomycetales sp. A2. RNAcentral's name for it is "eukaryotic LSU rRNA". The stretch from base 415 to 919 matches the Rfam family "Eukaryotic large subunit ribosomal RNA", at positions 1 to 533 of the family's 3401-position model. The record is from RNAcentral. Lineage: Eukaryota; Fungi; Ascomycota; Saccharomycetes; Saccharomycetales.
CGUCCGGACUGUUGAUGCGGAGAGGGCAACUUUUCUGCGUCGACGAGAAGCUAGUCAAACUUGGUCAUUUAGAGGAAGUAAAAGUCGUAACAAGGUUUCCGUAGGUGAACCUGCGGAAGGAUCAUUAUUGAUUUAUUAUAUCAGUGGAAUUUUUUAUUCGCCGAAAGGCAAAUUAAUAACUAAAUUAAAAUUAUUUAAUCAAAACUUUUAACAAUGGAUCUCUUGGUUCUCGCAUCGAUGAAGAACGCAGCGAAACGCGAUAUGUUUUGUGAAUUGCAGAAGUGAAUCAUCAAUUUUUGAACGCACAUUGCGCCUUGUGGUAUUCCGCAAGGCAUGUCUGUUUGAGCGUUGUUUCUCUAUGAGGUCGAAAUUCUUCCUUGAAAUAUAAGAGCAAACACGUUUGACAAAAUUAUUCAACCUCAGAUCAGACAGGACUACCCGCUGAACUUAAGCAUAUCAAUAAGCGGAGGAAAAGAAACCAACCGGGAUUGCCUUAGUAACGGCGAGUGAAGCGGCAAGAGCUCAAAUUUGAAAUCCCCUUGGGGAGUUGUAAUUUGUAGGUUGUGACCUGAGCAAGCAACACAAGUCUCCUGGAACGGAGUGCCUUAGAGGGUGAGAGCCCCGUAAGUUGUAGCUCAUUGUAGGUUGCUUCCAAAGAGUCGAGUUGUUUGGGAAUGCAGCUCUAAGUGGGUGGUAAAUUCCAUCUAAAGCUAAAUAUUGGCGAGAGACCGAUAGCGAACAAGUACAGUGAUGGAAAGAUGAAAAGAACUUUGAAAAGAGAGUGAAAAAGUACGUGAAAUUGUUAAAAGGGAAGGGUACUAACUGAGACUUGGAGGUUAUGUUCAGCUGCCGUUCGCGGUAGUGUAUUCAUUUCUUCUAGGCCAGGGAGAGGUAUUGGGGUAAGAAAAAGAGGUAGGAA